UGGGCUAGAGAAAGAAAGGGGAAACCCUCAAGCAUUUGCAAUUCAGCAAAAUUGAAAGGAGAAUUGAGAUUAAACUUGAUGCAUGAAUCCUAAUAUAUGAUCAUCUAAGCUUGCUUAACAAGUGGUAAGUUGCAAUUUUCGAUUCGGUUGAUUUUUGACAUGGCAUAAUAAAAGAAGGUCCAAGCAACCGGAAACCUCAAAGCUCGCAAGACC
RNAcentral lists this long non-coding RNA (213 nucleotides) under Helianthus annuus (common sunflower). RNAcentral's name for it is "sRNA HanXRQr2_Chr11g0480451". The record is from RNAcentral. Lineage: Eukaryota; Viridiplantae; Streptophyta; Magnoliopsida; Asterales; Asteraceae.